Acinonyx jubatus (cheetah) is the source of this 1885-nucleotide long non-coding RNA. RefSeq lists it as uncharacterized. NCBI's taxonomy places the organism in Eukaryota, Metazoa, Chordata, Mammalia, Carnivora, Felidae. The transcript is spliced from 2 exons. The record is from RefSeq and is a predicted model, not a curated record.
AAAGAAAGAAAGAAAGAAAGAAGAAAGAGAAAGAGCAAAAUUUAUCCAACUUACAUAAAAUGGAAUCUUUUUUAAAUCUUUACUUUGAAAUGAAGAUGCAGUUUUUAGGAGGUAAUAUUUUCUUCUAAUUAUCAAGAUACUCACAAACACCAGGGGAGAAUUUGAAGCACCAAAAUAGGAAUUGAUAAUAUGAGCUCACCAUGCAUUCAUAAACCUCUCCCCCUGGGUUCCUCUGGAUUCUGCUACCUUGGCUUUUGUCCAAUGAGCUUUUAAAAGCAAAGGGGAAAUGCUGGAGGGUUAAACCUAAGGAUUGACCUGCUACUACCACUCCGUGUUUGACCAAAACUCUCAUUAGGAAACAACAUGGAAUAGUUUUUAGCUGCAAAAAGGCACCCAGGAGAAUGACAGAAAUGUAUUAGGUUAACUGUCGGUGCUGCCUGUAUACCAAAACAAAAACAUCCUGGGAGAGAUAUGAGCUAUGUCAGAAACAGAGUCAGCUAACAACUGUCAGUUGGGAUUGUUGAAUAGCAUUUAAAUGCACUGAGCAGCAUUUGGGAGCAGGUGACUUCCAAGAAGGAUGGGGAAAUGAAAUUUUGUUAGCUUUGAGAAUAGAAAAAGAAUGGAACUUGGUAAUUCUUUUUUUGUAAUGUUUCAGAGAUUUUAUUUCAUUUUUUCUUGCAUGUAAAACCUCAACUCUCACAAAUUUGCAGAGAUAUAAAUAAUGGGCUCUAUCUUCACACAGUGCAGAACAUUUAAUAGGCAAUUUAUGAAUAUUUGUUUUACACAAAAAGGAAAGGAAGAAGAAAGCAAAUGAGGGAAGAAGUAAGGAGGGAGAAUCAAGCCUGAAUUAACUGUUGCUGAGUAAAAGAACUGGGAGCAGAAGUGAGUUCCAUGAGGCUGAGUAUAGGCAUAAGAAUGCUUGCAUGUUAGCCUCAAGCUGUAAGUGGCAGCUGGCUGCAUGGCCUUGGCCAGGUGGUCAGUCAGCACUCGCUAGUAGAAUUUGGCAUUCAAGUUAAGCAGCUGCAAAACGGAAAAGGCCCAGCAGCUUUGUAGAAACAGAGAUACGGGCCAUUUUAUGGUUCCAGGCUUCCAGCCAAUCAUGAUAGGAGAAGGCCCAUGACACCUGUCAGUGCCCACAAUGGAAAGAGCAGAGCUGCUCUACAAUACAGUGCACCAAGCAGGAAAGAGGACAGUCCGGAAAGACCACACUCUCCCCACCCUCAGUUAAAAAGGGGAAUCAUCUGAAUGCAAACAACAAGAGAUGAGCUUGAGACUGGUGGUACACUAGAGAAGAGGACUUGAGAAGCUCUGACUCAGCUCUCUUAGAGGUGAGAAUCCCUGAUGACAGCUGGUAUCUCAAGAGCUCAAAGGAGAUGCCCUGCCAACCUGGAAGAGGGUCCUACAGACUGCUACUAGUUUCUCAAAGAAAUGCCAUGAAGUUGGUUCUAAGAACAUGGAAGAAACCCAGAAGCUAAACCAACAGCUACUACUGAGGUGAGAAGCUAUGGCUGAGAUGAGAUUGACAGGAGCAGUAGACACCUGGAAGAAGCAAAUACCUUCUCCUUCCAACUAUAUUUCAACCUCUUUAGUAACCUCCAUUGACAGACUGAACAGGAAAAUAGAUGGCAAAGAAGAAAUGUAGUUUGCAGAGCCCCCCACAGCACAGAACUGGAAUACAAUACUUAAUAACUGUCACCAUGGACUUAACAACCUUGAACCUGAAGGCCAGCGAAUAUCAAAAGGAUUUAUUGGAAGAGGCUAAUGGUGCUAUAAUUUCAGUUUAUACUCUUAUGAAAAGAGGACAUUUUUGAUGCCUUCCUUACAUAUGUAUGAAUCUGAACGACCACCAUAAUAAAGCCUUUCUCAGUCUAGGUUUAUCUAUAAA